GAUGAACGCUGGCGGCGUGCCUAAUACAUGCAAGUCGAGCGAACAGAUGAGGAGCUUGCUCUUCUUACGUUAGCGGCGGACGGGUGAGUAACACGUGGAUAACCUACCUAUAAGACUGGGAUAACUCCGGGAAACCGGAGCUAAUACCGGAUAAUAUAUUGAACCGCAUGGUUCAAUAGUGAAAGACGGCUUUGCUUUCACUUAUCGAUUGAUCCGCGCCGCAUUAGCUAUUUGGUAAGGUAACGGCUUACCAAGGCAACAAUGCGUAGCCGACCGGAGAGGGGGAUCGGCCAACCGGGAACGGAGAAACGGUCAAGACUCCUACGGGAGGCAGCAGAAGGGAAUCUUCGGAAAGGGGGGAAAGCCUGCCGGAGCAACGCCGGGGGGGGGAUGAAGGUUUUCGGAUGGUAAGCCUCUGUGAGUAGGGAAGAACAGAUGUGUAAGUAAAUAGGCACGUCUUGACGGUACCUAAUCAGAAAGCCACGGCUAACUACGUG
RNAcentral lists this ribosomal RNA (497 nucleotides) under uncultured bacterium. RNAcentral's name for it is "partial 16S ribosomal RNA". It matches the Rfam family "Bacterial small subunit ribosomal RNA", at positions 28 to 507 of the family's 1533-position model. The record is from RNAcentral.